This 907-nucleotide ribosomal RNA is filed under the name Microdochium yunnanense. RNAcentral's name for it is "Microdochium sp. SH-2020b partial large subunit ribosomal RNA". It matches the Rfam family "Eukaryotic large subunit ribosomal RNA", at positions 35 to 967 of the family's 3401-position model. The record is from RNAcentral. Lineage: Eukaryota; Fungi; Ascomycota; Sordariomycetes; Xylariales; Microdochiaceae.
UAAGCAUAUCAAUAAGCGGAGGAAAAGAAACCAACAGGGAUUGCCCUAGUAACGGCGAGUGAAGCGGCAACAGCUCAAAUUUGAAAUCUGGCCUUCUGGUCCGAAUUGUAAUUUGUAGAGGAUGCUUUUGGUUAGGUACCUUUCGAGUUCCUUGGAACAGGACGCCUUAGAGGGUGAGAGCCCCGUACGAUUGGAUGCCGAGCCUCUGUAAAGCUCCUUCGACGAGUCGAGUAGUUUGGGAAUGCUGCUCUAAAUGGGAGGUAAAUUUCUUCUAAAGCUAAAUACCGGCCAGAGACCGAUAGCGCACAAGUAGAGUGAUCGAAAGAUGAAAAGCACUUUGAAAAGAGGGUUAAAUAGUACGUGAAAUUGUUGAAAGGGAAGGGCUUAUGACCAGACCUUUGCCUUGCGGAUCAUCCGGUGUUCUCACCGGUGCACUUCGCUUGGUUGAGGCCAGCAUCAGUUUUGGCGGCCGGAUAAAGACUUCAGGAAUGUGACUCCCCCGGGAGUGUUAUAGCCUGCUGUGUAAUACGGCCGCCGGGACUGAGGACCGCGCUUCGGCUAGGAUGCUGGCAUAAUGGUCAUCAGCCACCCGUCUUGAAACACGGACCAAGGAGUCGAACAUUUAUGCGAGUUUUUGGGUGUUAAACCCUCAAGCGUAAUGAAAGUGAACGGAGGUGAGAGCCCUUACGGGUGCAUCAUCGACCGAUCCUGAUGUCUUCGGAUGGAUUUGAGUAAGAGCAUAACUGUUCGGACCCGAAAGAUGGUGAACUAUGCGUGGAUAGGGUGAAGCCAGAGGAAACUCUGGUGGAGGCUCGCAGCGGUUCUGACGUGCAAAUCGAUCGUCAAAUCUGCGCAUGGGGGCGAAAGACUAAUCGAACCAUCCUAGUAGCUGGUUACCGCCCGAAGU